AAAAACAUCGCCUCUUGCCUUAAUGAAUAAGAGGUCACGCCUGCCCUGUGACUAUAUGUUUAACGGCCGCGGUAUUUUGACCGUGCAAAGGUAGCGCAAUCACUUGUCCUUUAAAUGUGGACCUGUAUGAAUGGCAUAACGAGGGCUUAGCUGUCUCCUUUCUCAAGUCAAUGAACUUGAUCUCCCCGUGCAGAAGCGGGGAUAGAACCAUAAGACGAGAAGACCCUAUGGAGCUUUAGACAAAAAACAGCCCCUGUCAAUAAACCCCAAAUAAAGGGAAUAAACCUAGUGAACCUGUUUUAAUGUCUUUGGUUGGGGCGACCGCGGGGUAACAAAAAACCCCCAUGUGGAAUGAAAACACCCUUUUUAAAACCAAGAGUCACCACUCUAAGUUACAGAACAUCUGACCAAUAAUGAUCCGGCUAAAGCCGAUUAACGAACCGAGUUACCCUAGGGAUAACAGCGCAAUCCUCUUUUAGAGUCCAUAUCGACAAGAGGGUUUACGACCUCGAUGUUGGAUCAGGACAUCCCAAUGGUGCAGCCGCUAUAAA
RNAcentral lists this ribosomal RNA (551 nucleotides) under Takifugu stictonotus (gomafugu). RNAcentral describes it as "partial large subunit ribosomal RNA". It matches the Rfam family "Bacterial large subunit ribosomal RNA", at positions 1809 to 2568 of the family's 2925-position model. The record is from RNAcentral. Lineage: Eukaryota; Metazoa; Chordata; Actinopteri; Tetraodontiformes; Tetraodontidae.